This is a non-coding RNA of Plasmodium berghei, 267 nucleotides long. NCBI's taxonomy places the organism in Eukaryota, Apicomplexa, Aconoidasida, Haemosporida, Plasmodiidae. The record is from Rfam.
AUAAAGCUACGUUUUUGUGCUCAUCCCAUGUAUCAGUGGAAGGGAGAAAAAUAUGUAUGUUGUACAUAUAUUAAAAUUUCUUCAUUCCGCUUAUCUUUUGUGAUACAAGGGUAAAAAAACAUUAUAUUUUAUAUCUCAUGUAUAUUUUCAUUUUAUUUAUAAGUUUUUUAUAAAUAAAAUUAUAACUAUAAAUAUAUAUGUUUCAUGCGAUAUAGACAAAAAAAUUGCUAUAAGUCAUGCAAGAUAUAAGUAUGUGCAUGAUGAUAU